This 253-nucleotide ribosomal RNA is filed under the name uncultured bacterium. RNAcentral describes it as "partial 16S ribosomal RNA". It matches the Rfam family "Bacterial small subunit ribosomal RNA", at positions 524 to 776 of the family's 1533-position model. The record is from RNAcentral.
UACGAAGGGGGCUAGCGUUGUUCGGAAUUACUGGGCGUAAAGCGCGCGCAGGCGGCUAUCCAAGUCAGUGGUGAAAGCCCGGAGCUCAACUCCGGAACUGCCAUUGAAACUGUUUAGCUUGAGGACGAGAGAGGUGAGUGGAAUUCCCAGUGUAGAGGUGAAAUUCGUAGAUACUGGGAAGAACACCGGUGGCGAAGGCGGCUCACUGGCUCGUAUCUGACGCUCAGGCGCGACAGCGUGGGGAUCAAACAGG